UCCCUUCUGGAGCCUUAGCCUUUGC
RNAcentral lists this non-coding RNA (25 nucleotides) under Mus musculus (house mouse). Lineage: Eukaryota; Metazoa; Chordata; Mammalia; Rodentia; Muridae. The record is from RNAcentral.